This 253-nucleotide ribosomal RNA is filed under the name uncultured bacterium. RNAcentral's name for it is "partial 16S ribosomal RNA". It matches the Rfam family "Bacterial small subunit ribosomal RNA", at positions 524 to 776 of the family's 1533-position model. The record is from RNAcentral.
UACGUAGGGUGCAAGCGUUAAUCGGAAUUACUGGGCGUAAAGCGUGCGCAGGUGGCUCUGCAAGACAGAUGUGAAAUCCCCGGGCUUAACCUGGGAACUGCAUUUGUGACUGCAUGGCUAGAGUGUGGCAGAGGGGGAUGGAAUUCCGCGUGUAGCAGUGAAAUGCGUAGAGAUCAGGAGGAACACCCGUGGCGAAGGCGGCCCUCUGGCUCGACCCUGACGCUGAGGCGCGAAAGCGUGGGGAGCGAACGGG